AAGUCGUAACAAGGUUUCCGUAGGUGAACCUGCGGAAGGAUCAUUAAAACGUAUCCAACGUUAACCAAUUGUGAACUUGUUUUCUCCCUCGGCUUAGAGCAAUCGCAGCAGGGGGAGUUACAAAUAACCAUUUUCACCCCUUUUUGCUAGUUGACUUUUUUUAAUGUUGGUUUUUACGAAAGUAGAGAUCACACGUUUCAUUAUUUGAACGUAAAAUACAACUCUUAGCAAUGGAUAUCUAGGUUCUC
This 248-nucleotide unclassified non-coding RNA is filed under the name fungal sp. RNAcentral describes it as "partial internal transcribed spacer region". The stretch from base 1 to 46 matches the Rfam family "Eukaryotic small subunit ribosomal RNA", at positions 1786 to 1831 of the family's 1831-position model. Lineage: Eukaryota; Fungi. The record is from RNAcentral.